GGAAAUACAGAGGGCAGAAGUUGUUGGAAGGUGUCAGCUGCAGGCUCUUCCUCCCAAGCCUCCUUCGGGGUGGGCGGGGAUGUGAACUGAGACCUUUUGCAAAUAAUCCAGGCUGAGAUCCAGGUGGCUGCUCAGGGCUUCAUAGACAAGUUUAUCUGAGGAACAAGAAGAGGGCAUGAAGGAAGAGAAUUCUUUAAUUUUAUACCUCUCGUGCUAGGAACUAUAAUUCAUUACUUUAUUUACCUCCGAAAACAGCCUCAUUUUAUACACAUGAGAAAACUGAGCCUCAAACAGUCAAGAAUUUGCUGGUGGAUCCAGGUUUCAAGACAGGUGAGACCCAACCCCCGUGCGUGUUCGGUGUGCUCCGUUGAGAUGUCCGGGAUGGCUGAGCUCAUGGUGAAACCUCAGCAAAGCUGCGGAGCUGAGGAGCAGAGCCCACACCUGUACUUGGAAUGUCAAAUCCUCCCGCCUUGUCUGAAGCAGCCGUCUGGAGCUUUCUUUGGUGUCCCUACACUCCAGCCUCUCCUGGGUGACGACGUCACCUGGCUCCAUCUAGGAAGCCGUGAUUUUGAGGGUCUGCAGGGCUGUGUGUACCUGGGACACUUGGCUUGCUCUUUGGAUGGUCAGGCCUGGGAUGGACCCGAGCAAAGUCAGGAUAGAUACGCUGUCAAUGUCCACCCCUGACAAAAGGGGGGUUGGCCUGAUGCUCAUGGCUCUUACAGGCCAGAAGUCUGCCCAUCACUUUGACACCUGGAACAGCCCCCUCUUGCAGUGGGAGAAAGGAGUCUAUGUAAAAUGCUCCCACAAUCACAGACUGGGGUCAGACUAGAUCACGCAGAGAAGGGCCAUUCCUGGCUCCUUCCGUCUCCCAGUCCUCACCGCUCAGGCCCCGUCACGGCCCGACAGCCUCCAACAAGCCUCCUUCACUGGACCUGCUACUGUUGAGUUGAGUCCUUGGUUUCUGCAUCUGCACAAUUCACUCUGUGCACAGCCGCCGAGCUGGGAGCAACCAGCUCUUAUCUAGGCCAGGGGUUUGAGCAGCAGAACAAAAUCCCAGGUGAACAUAAGCCCCGUGCAUAGAACAGAUAAAAAUGGAGGGCGGGGUGAAUUAAAACAAGGGUGGUGGGCAACUCUGUCAUCCUCAUACCACCCACAACCAGGGCCCUUUGC
RNAcentral lists this long non-coding RNA (1170 nucleotides) under Equus caballus (horse). RNAcentral's name for it is "lncRNA (ENSECAG00000058672.1)". Lineage: Eukaryota; Metazoa; Chordata; Mammalia; Perissodactyla; Equidae. The record is from RNAcentral.